This 253-nucleotide ribosomal RNA is filed under the name uncultured bacterium. RNAcentral describes it as "partial 16S ribosomal RNA". It matches the Rfam family "Bacterial small subunit ribosomal RNA", at positions 524 to 776 of the family's 1533-position model. The record is from RNAcentral.
UACAGAGGUCUCAAGCGUUGUUCGGAUUCAUUGGGCGUAAAGGGUGCGUAGGCGGUGCGGUAAGUCGGGUGUGAAAUCUCGGAGCUUAACUCCGAAACUGCAUUCGAUACUGCCGUGCUUGAGGACUGGAGAGGAGACUGGAAUUUACGGUGUAGCGGUGAAAUGCGUAGAUAUCGUAAGGAAGACCAGUGGCGAAGGCGGGUCUCUGGACAGGUCCUGACGCUGAGGCACGAAGGUCAGGGGAGCAAACGGG